This 400-nucleotide ribosomal RNA is filed under the name uncultured bacterium. Its description in RNAcentral is "bacterial SSU rRNA". It matches the Rfam family "Bacterial small subunit ribosomal RNA", at positions 356 to 773 of the family's 1533-position model. The record is from RNAcentral.
GGGGAAUAUUGCACAAUGGAGGAAACUCUGAUGCAGCAACGCCGCGUGAGUGAUGAAGGUCUUCGGAUUGUAAAGCUCUGUCUUCUGGGACGAUAAUGACGGUACCAGAGGAGGAAGCCACGGCUAACUACGUGCCAGCAGCCGCGGUAAUACGUAGGUGGCAAGCGUUGUCCGGAAUUACUGGGCGUAAAGGGUGCGCAGGCGGACAUUUAAGUGAGAUGUGAAAGACCCGGGCUUAACUUGGGCAGUGCAUUUCAAACUGGAUGUCUGGAGUGCAGGAGAGGAGAACGGAAUUCCUAGUGUAGCGGUGAAAUGCGUAGAGAUUAGGAAGAAUACCAGUGGCGAAGGCGGCUUUCUGGACUGUAACUGACGCUGAGGCAUGAAAGCGUGGGGAGCAAAC